CCUACGGGUGGCAGCAGUGGGGAAUAUUGCACAAUGGGGGAAACCCUGAUGCAGCGACGCCGCGUGAGUGAAGAAGUAUUUCGGUAUGUAAAGCUCUAUCAGCAGGGAAGAAAUAAAGUCCUUCGGACUUUGGACGGUACCUGACUAAGAAGCCCCGGCUAACUACGUGCCAGCAGCCGCGGUAAUACGUAGGGGGCAAGCGUUAUCCGGAUUUACUGGGUUGAAAGGGAGCGUGGACGGCAGCGCAAGUCUGGAGUGAAAUCCCAUGGCUUAACCAUGGAACGGCUUGGGAAACUGUGCAGCUGGAGUGCAGGAGAGGUAAGCGGAAUUCCUAGUGUAGCGGUGAAAUGCGUAGAUAUUAGGAGGAACACCAGUGGCGAAGGCGGCUUACUGGACUGUAACUGACGUUGAGGCUCGAAAGCGUGGGGAGCAAACAGGAUUAGAUACCCUGGUAGUC
RNAcentral lists this ribosomal RNA (457 nucleotides) under uncultured bacterium. RNAcentral's name for it is "partial 16S ribosomal RNA". It matches the Rfam family "Bacterial small subunit ribosomal RNA", at positions 338 to 795 of the family's 1533-position model. The record is from RNAcentral.